This 1369-nucleotide long non-coding RNA is filed under the name Oryctolagus cuniculus (rabbit). RNAcentral describes it as "lncRNA (ENSOCUG00000037234.1)". Lineage: Eukaryota; Metazoa; Chordata; Mammalia; Lagomorpha; Leporidae. The record is from RNAcentral.
AUGUACGUGUUGGUGGUGAUGCUUUCAGUACAUCCCACACCAUCCACCUCCACGGCCAUAACCACCCAAUCCAUCAGGAGUACCAUAUCCUCCACUGUAAUUGUUUCCCAUUCCUAUUCUUCCAACAGAUCCAUAUCCUUCCUGAUUAUCCAUUCCAUCUCUGCUGUAGCCUCCCAUUCCAGAACCUCCCAUUCCAGAGUCACCGCCAGGCGUAGAAUUCAAGAAGAGUUCAAUGUAUCGAUGUUGCAUAUUAUUUUUAUCUUUAGACAUGGCAGCUACUGCAUCUUCAUGUGUCACAAGCUCUGCAUCUGCUUCUCCCGUUGCUCUGCCAUCAGCUCCAAUAUCAAUAUGAACUCAUAUUGGAUUUAGUGGUGAGAAGAAAUUAGCAAUGUCAUUUUCAAUUGCACAAUAAGGCAGGCCUCUCAUAUGUACAAAAUGACCACCAUGAAAACCUGACCUUGCAUCACCAGCCCCACCAUAGGCACUUCCUCCCACACCUCUUCCAUCUCUCAUUCUGUCAUCAAAGCCAUCAUUUCCAUAGCCAUAAUUAUUAUAGCCACCAUAGUCAUCAACAACUCCAUAGCCACCAUCAUAUCCAUCACCUCCUCGUCGCAUUCUGUCAUACAUACUUCUACACCCUGAUCCAUAAUAACCCCCUCUUCUUCCUAUUGGUCUAUCAUAUGGUCCCGGUCGCUCUCCCAGCAAUCUUCUUGGUGGAUCAUAAAAUUCCUUGAUUUCACUCCUGCUACUUCUGAAGAUCUCAAUAUACCUUGAAAGAACUGAACUAUUUCCUCUGUGCUGCAACCAAAUGGCAGUCCACGAAGUCAUACUGUCCCAUCACUAGCGUCAUUUGGACCAUCUCAAUAUCGUUUGACUUAAAUGCCAAAAUGGCGGAGGCCAAACCAGAGGCAGAGAGAAGGGUUGGACGCCCUCCACUUCGGGCCUCCAUGUCAUCCACCAAACUCCAUCCGAGCAAGCCCUCCUCUGGCAGGCCGCCCUCCUUGAAGUGGGAGAUCCCCUGGGAGGUGCAGCCCUGCCUGCCUCCGAGUGGUGACUUCCACACUGCAAUGUUUUCUAAUAAUUUGAUGUUAUCAGUUCAUACAUUUAGGUAUUUAACCCAUUUGGAAAAGAUUUUUGUAUAAGGAUAAGGUAGGGGUAUUGCUUCAGACUUCUCCACAUGAAAAUCCACUUUUCCCAGGGCCAAUAGUUGAAGAGACUGUUCUUGCUCCAAGGAUUGGUUUUAGCUCCUUUUUCAAAGAUAAGUUUCAUGUAGAGGCAUGGAUUGAUUUCUGGCAUUUCUAUUCUGUUCCAUUGGUCUUUCCAUCUUUUUUUUUUUGUACAAGUACCAGGCUGUUUUGAUUAUAACUGC